AAUCAACGCUGGCGGCGUGCCUCAGACAUGCAAGUCGAACGCGAAAGUCCCCUUCGGGGGACCGGUAGAGUGGCGCACGGGUGAGUAACACGUGGGUAAUUUGCCUUCGGGUGGGGAAUAACAGCCGGAAACGGCUGCUAAUACCGCAUAAUGCAGCGGCACCUCAUGGUGACAGUUGUUAAAGCGGGGGAUCGCAAGACCUCGCGCCUGAAGAGAAGCCCGCGGCGGAUUAGCUAGUUGGUGAGGUAACGGCUCACCAAGGCGACGAUCCGUAGCC
Molecule: ribosomal RNA, 277 nt
Filed under: uncultured bacterium
Lineage: Bacteria
Description: partial 16S ribosomal RNA
Rfam family: Bacterial small subunit ribosomal RNA
Source: RNAcentral